Molecule: ribosomal RNA, 579 nt
Filed under: Meyerozyma guilliermondii
Lineage: Eukaryota; Fungi; Ascomycota; Pichiomycetes; Serinales; Debaryomycetaceae
Description: LSU rRNA
Rfam family: Eukaryotic large subunit ribosomal RNA
Source: RNAcentral
UGCUUUAGUAGCGGCGAGUGAAGCGGCAAAAGCUCAAAUUUGAAAUCUGGCACCUUCGGUGUCCGAGUUGUAAUUUGAAGAUUGUAACCUUGGGGUUGGCUCUUGUCUAUGUUUCUUGGAACAGGACGUCACAGAGGGUGAGAAUCCCGUGCGAUGAGAUGCCCAAUCCUAUGUAAGGUGCUUUCGAAGAGUCGAGUUGUUUGGGAAUGCAGCUCUAAGUGGGUGGUAAAUUCCAUCUAAAGCUAAAUAUUGGCGAGAGACCGAUAGCGAACAAGUACAGUGAUGGAAAGAUGAAAAGAACUUUGAAAAGAGAGUGAAAAAGUACGUGAAAUUGUUGAAAGGGAAGGGUUUGAGAUCAGACUCGAUAUUUUGUGAGCCUUGCCUUCGUGGCGGGGUGACCCGCAGCUUAUCGGGCCAGCAUCGGUUUGGGCGGUAGGAUAAUGGCGUAGGAAUGUGACUUUGCUUCGGUGAAGUGUUAUAGCCUGCGUUGAUGCUGCCUGCCUAGACCGAGGACUGCGAUUUUAUCAAGGAUGCUGGCAUAAUGAUCCCAAACCGCCCGUCUUGAAACAACGGACCAAA